GUUCUCGGUGGAGUUUGUCGCACCCCUCCUAAGGGUUAGAGUGGAGGUUCGAUUCCUCUCGAGGACGCCA
RNAcentral lists this transfer RNA (70 nucleotides) under Candidatus Onthocola stercorigallinarum. RNAcentral describes it as "tRNA-Ser". Lineage: Bacteria; Bacillati; Bacillota; Bacilli. The record is from RNAcentral.